This 253-nucleotide ribosomal RNA is filed under the name uncultured bacterium. Its description in RNAcentral is "partial 16S ribosomal RNA". It matches the Rfam family "Bacterial small subunit ribosomal RNA", at positions 524 to 776 of the family's 1533-position model. The record is from RNAcentral.
GACGUAGGGGGCGAGCGUUGUCCGGAUUCAUUGGGCGUAAAGAGCGCGUAGGCGGCUUGGUAAGUCGGGUGUGAAAUCCCGGGGCUCAACCCCGGGACUGCACCUGAUACUGCCCGGCUAGAGGUAGGUAGGGGAGAUCGGAAUUCCUGGUGUAGCGGUGAAAUGCGCAGAUAUCAGGAGGAACACCGGUGGCGAAGGCGGAUCUCUGGGCCUUACCUGACGCUGAGGCGCGAAAGCUAGGGGAGCGAACAGG